GAAAGUAAACAAGGGCGCAUGGAGGAUGCCUAGGCUCUCGGAGGCGAAGAAGGACGUGAUAAGCUGCGAAAAGUUACGGUAAGGCGCAAAUAGCCCUAGACCCGUAAAUAUCCGAAUGGGGCAACCCGGCCAGCAAUGGCCAUACCGCCAAGCGGUAAGCCAACGCGGGGAACUGAAACAUCUAAGUACCCGCAGGAAAAGAAAAUAACAAUGAUUCCGCCAGUAGUGGCGAGCGAACGCGGAACAGCCCAAACCACCCGUGUUACGGCACGAGUGGGGUAGAAGGAUCCACGCUACGGCAAGAAAUAAGUUAGCAGAAUACGAUGGAAAUCGUAGCCAGAGACGGUGACAGCCCGGUACGCGAAAACGGACAGAAGCCCAGUGGACACCUGAGUAACCCAGGACACGAGAAAUCCGGGGCGAAUCAGCGGGGCCCAUCCCGUAAGGCUAAAUACUCCCGAGAGACCGAUAGCGAACCAGUACUGUGAAGGAAAGGUGAAAAGAACCUCGAACAGAGGAGUGAAACAGACCCUGAAACCAUGCGCCUACAAGCGGUCGGAGCAUGUUAAAAUGUGACGGCGUGCCUUUUGCAUAAUGAACCUACGAGUUACUCUCGCUGGCAAGGUUAAGCGAUUCAGUCGCGUAGCCGAAGCGAAAGCAAGUCCGAACAAGGCGUACAGUCAGCGGGAGUAGACGCGAAACCAAGUGAUCUACCCUUGGUCAGGUUGAAGGUUGGGUAACACCAACUGGAGGACCGCACCGAUAAGCGUUGAAAAGCUUACGGAUGAACUGAGGGUAGGAGUGAAAGGCCAAUCAAACUUGGAGAUAGCUCGUACUCCCCGAAAUGCAUUUAGGUGCAGCCUCGAAGUAAAGUGAUAGAGGUAGAGCGACUGAUAAGAUGCGAGGGCUUCACCGCCUAUCAAGUCUUGACAAACUCCGAAUACUAUCACUUGAUCUUCGGGAGUGAGGGCAUGGGUGCUAAGGUCCAUGUCCGAAAGAGGAACAACUCAGACCACCAGCUAAGGUCCCGAAAUAAGGGCUAAGUUGAAUAAACGAAGUAAAACUGCAAAGACAGCUAGGAUGUUGGCUUGGAAGCAGCCAUUCAUUUAAAGAGUGCGUAACAGCUCACUAGUCGAGGAGUUUUGCAUGGAUAAUAAUCGGGCAUAAGCCCUUUACCGAAGCUGUGGAUGUCGUAAGACAUGGUAGGGGAGCAUUCCGGCGGCGACGAAGGCCGUCCUCGAGGACGACUGGAGCUUUCGGAAAAGCAAAUGUAGGUAUAAGUAACGAUAAAGGGGGCGUGAAACCCCCUCGCCAUAAGACUAAGGAUUCCUGAUCAACGCUAAUCGGAUCAGGGUAAGUCGGGCCCUAAGGCGCAGCCGAACGGCGUAGCCGAUGGAAGAAACGGUAAAGAUUCCGUUACUGGAUAUAGGAGCGAUGUGGAGACGGAGAAGUGACACACCCGCCUGCCGACGGAAGCGCAGGUUAAAGGAAGUAGGUAAACGCCGGGUAGGCAAAUCCGCCUGGCGUGCCGAAGCUGACAGUAUCGAGAGCCCCCGGGCAAUCGAAUAGCGGUGGUAAUCAGGCUCCCAAGAAAAUCCGCUAAGCAUAUUCUAUAUCCACCCGUACCCCAAACGGACACACGUAGUCGGGUAGAAUAUACCAAGGCGCUCGAAAGACUCACGGUUAAGGAACUAGGCAAAUUGACCCUGUAACCUCGGGAAAAAGGGUCCCCAGUAAGAUGGGGCGCAGAGAAUAGGUCCAGGCAACUGUUUAACAAAAACACAGGGCUGUGCAAAAUUUCAAGAUGAAGUAUACAGCCUGACACCUGCCCGGUGCCGGAAGGUUAAGAGGAGAGCUAAUCGCAAGAGAAGGCUUGAAUUGAAGCCCCGGUAAACGGCGGCCGUAACUAUAACGGUCCUAAGGUAGCGAAAUUCCUUGUCGGGUAAGUUCCGACCUGCACGAAUGGUGUAAUGAUCUGGACACUGUCUCAACCGUGACUUCGGUGAAAUUGUAGUAUCGGUGAAGAUGCCGAUUACCCGCAACGGGACGAAAAGACCCCGUGAACCUUUACUGCAACUUAGCAUUGCGUUUGGGCAUUUGAUGUGUAGGAUAGUCCGGAGGCUACGAGUCGGCGACGCCAGUCGUCGAGGAGCCGCUGUUGAAAUACGGACCUUCGAAUGUUUGAGCGCUAACUCGCUGUAGCGAGGACACUGUUUGGUGGGUAGUUUGACUGGGGUGGUCGCCUCCAAAAGCGUAACGGAGGCUUCUA
Molecule: ribosomal RNA, 2269 nt
Filed under: human gut metagenome
Description: bacterial LSU rRNA
Rfam family: Bacterial large subunit ribosomal RNA
Source: RNAcentral